AGCCGUAGGUAGUAGUGACUGGGGAAUCCUGGAGGCCAGUGUGUACAUUAGCAGGCUAACAAGCAUCAUAGCUAGCCACUUGUCCUGAGGUAGGCUUGCUUGUUUUGUUUUUGGGACCUGGCACGAUGGGUAAAAUAAUCACCUAAAACUAAAAAAAAAAUCACAGAGCCUAGAGCUAAGGACCAGCUACUUCCUUCUUCCUCUGACCUGCCUUGUUAUCUGCAGGCCCAUGUGACAUCCACACAGGGCAGGACAAACACGCGUGUGAGGUGUUUGUGUAUUCAGGCACACACACACACACGCAUUCCUACCUCCUUAAGUAUGGCGGUGGUCUAGUACCGGGCUGUCCAUGACACCAAGCCACCGAUAGGUUGCAAACUUCUAGCUCAUUCUGCAGACAGGUUUCGGCUGGGUGGAUGGUGAGCUCACCAAGCACGCGUCGCACAGGGCCUUGAGGCAGGAACGUGCUGUUAUGCGAGCGUGUCCUGUGGGGAUCACCGCAUAAUUUAAUCAGCACUUUAGCAUGGUAUUUCUCCAGGGUGGGGAAGUAAUGAAGUCAGCACUCAGUGCUGGGAGUUCUCGGUUCAGCCUUGGGCACAGUGGUGACCUAGACUUGGGCUCAGUUAAACUCAGCACUGCCAGCAUCCGUGGUGUGACUAUAGUAGCCACUGUGGGCCAGGGAAAGGAGUAUCGUGGCCUCCCAACCCAUCAGAGACAAGUGGCAUCUUCCCAAUUCCAGCUGGGAAGAUAGUAUUUCAGGACACUGCCAAACGGCUCCUGAGGGUCAGGGAGAGAUUACCCCCGAGUUACAAAACACUGCCCUAACUUAAUUAGAAAGACAGGUUUGGGGAUGUGAACCAAGUGCUGUGAGUGGUUGCAGGAGGGAAAGUUAAUCGAGAAGAGGCUGGGCCGAGGUUGAAAUUCCAGGAGGCCGAGGGUGUAAGAUAGAGAAUUUGAGCUAGCCUGGGAUACAGAGACACACCCCCCUCCAACCCAAAAGCAAAAGAAAGGGGUGGGGAGAAAGGGCAGCAAGAAAGAAAAAUUCUUUCAGGCUUCAUUUCAAAACGUUCUGUAGUAAGCAAUAGGAAGAAAGAGGCUAAAAUAAGUGGUCAGUCAAAACGCAGCGGGGCUCACUGUGAGUUAAUCCACACAAACCAAUAGCCGUCUCAGUAGGUUUCAGAAUAGACGUAAGACCGGGCAUGGUGGCACGUGGUUCAAUUUCUGGCACUCGGAAGGCUGGGCAGGUGAGUCCAAGUCCAAGGACAGCUUGGAUUCCGUGCAGAGUCCUGCCUGAAACACAAAAUUUUUUUUAAAGAUUAAUAAAAUAUUUUCUUAAUUAAUGGUGGUGAUUCUGACGACAACAAC
Molecule: long non-coding RNA, 1365 nt
Filed under: Rattus norvegicus (Norway rat)
Lineage: Eukaryota; Metazoa; Chordata; Mammalia; Rodentia; Muridae
Description: long non-coding RNA NONRATT008027
Source: RNAcentral